This 497-nucleotide ribosomal RNA is filed under the name uncultured bacterium. RNAcentral's name for it is "partial 16S ribosomal RNA". It matches the Rfam family "Bacterial small subunit ribosomal RNA", at positions 28 to 507 of the family's 1533-position model. The record is from RNAcentral.
GAUGAACGCUGGCGGCGUGCCUAAUACAUGCCAGUCGAGCGAACAGACGAGGAGCUUGCUCCUCUGACGUUAGCGGCGGACGGGUGAGUAACACGUGGAUAACCUACCUAUAAGACUGGGAUAACUUCGGGAAACCGGAGCUAAUACCGGAUAAUAUAUUGCACCGCAUGGUUCAAUAGUGAAAGACGGUUUUGCUGUCACUUAUAGAUGGAUCCGCGCCGCAUUAGCUGGUUGGUAAGGUAACGGCUUACCAAGGCAACGAUGCGUAGCCGACCUGCGAGGGUGAUCGGCCACACUGGAACUGAGACACGGUCCAGACGCCUACGGGAGGCAGCAGUAGGGAAUCUUCCGCAAUGGGCGAAAGCUUGACGGAGCAACGCCGCGUGAGUGAUGAAGGUCUUCGGAUCGUAAAACUCUGUUAUUAGGGAAGAACAGAUGUGUAAGUAACUAUGCACGUCUUGACGGUACCGAAUCAGAAAGCCACGGCUAACUACGUG